UACCAGACUCCUACGGGAGGCAGCAGUGGGGAAUAUUGCACAAUGGGGGAAACCCUGAUGCAGCGACGCCGCGUGAAGGAUGAAGUAUUUCGGUAUGUAAACUUCUAUCAGCAGGGAAGAAAAUGACGGUACCUGACUAAGAAGCCCCGGCUAACUACGUGCCAGCAGCCGCGGUAAUACGUAGGGGGCAAGCGUUAUCCGGAUUUACUGGGUGUAAAGGGGGCGCAGACGGCGACGCAAGCCAGGAGUGAAAGCCCGGGGCCCAACCCCGGGACUGCUCUUGGAACUGCGUGGCUGGAGUGCAGGAGGGGCAGGCGGAAUUCCUGGUGUAGCGGUGAAAUGCGUAGAUAUCAGGAGGAACACCGGUGGCGAAGGCGGCCUGCUGGACUGCAACUGACGUUGAGGCCCGAAAGCGUGGGGAGCAAACAGGAUUAGAUACCCCGGUA
Molecule: ribosomal RNA, 446 nt
Filed under: uncultured bacterium
Lineage: Bacteria
Description: bacterial SSU rRNA
Rfam family: Bacterial small subunit ribosomal RNA
Source: RNAcentral